CUUUUUAAAAAAAAAAAAAAAAAGAUAAAAGAUUUUUUUUUUUUUUUUUUUUUUUUUUUUUCACUUCUGAAAGUCUUAACAUUUGAUAGCUUAAAUGGCUACAAAAAAAAAACAAGAAAUGAUAUUACUGGUAAAUCGAAUAGAAAAGACGCUAACAUUUUUUUGACAAACUAUGAAAUAGUGCACAAUGGCUUGGGUAUAAACAAUAAUGGCAGUAAAAGAGAAGAUAGUCUUAGUAGUAACAAAACUGAACUUAAUACAUAUGAUAUUUUGAAUGAAGUAUAUUGUAGUAGUAAAAUCAAGGUUAAUAGUAACAGUAGGGCUAGUAGUAACAGUAGGGCUAGUAGUAACAGUAGGGCUAGCAGUAACAGCAGGGUGAGUAGUAACAGUAGGGCAAGAAGCCAUAACAGGACAAGUAACCACAACAAGACAAGUAACCAGGACAUAACUAACAAACACAAUAAUUUACUUUCGAGUGUAAAACGAAAUAACGAAUGGAUUACAACAAAAUUUAUAAACAAAAUAAAUGAAGAUAAAUAUAGUAAAACUGAACUUGUUAAUUUGAAUAAAAAUUUAAAUAAUGAAAGUGAUAUAUAUUUUAAAGGUGAGCCUUGUAAAUUUAAAAAAAAUAUAGGGAAAAAAAAAAUUAAUCCUGAUGAACCAAUAGAAAAAGUUAUACAAGAAAAAAUUACCAAAGAUAUAAACAUUAACGAAUUAUGGAACUAUUUAAGUUAUGUUUAUAAUUCGGAAGACAGCCGAUUAAGAUAUAAAAUAAAUGAUUUUUUACAUAAGCGUGAAGAAGUAAGUGAAAACACAAAUGAACAUAACAAUGAUCAUAGCAAUAGUUUAGGUGGGUAUAAUGUUACUGUGACCCCUGAAACUGCGACCUCUGAAACUGCGACGACUGCUACUACAACUGGUGCUACUACCCAUCACAGACAUAACGACCAAACUAAUAACAUUAAUUAUGAUGAUUAUAAACAUAUCGUUCGAUAUAUACUUCCUAGUAUGACUGAAAACAAAAUAAAAUAUUCAUGGUGUGUUAUAAAAAGCAAUUUAAAUAUCGAGAAUGAUCAGGUUAAUUAUAAAGAAUUAUUUAAUUACAUAAAUAAACAAUCAGACAAUGAUAAGAGUGUAUAUGUUAGUAAAAUUGUAGCUAGUAAAUUAAAAAAUAAAUUAAUAAAUUAUCAAUUUAAUCCAUCAGAUGUUAAUUUAAAAACAAUAAAUUAUAUUGAUAAUAUUCGUUUAAAGGCUAGUGAAUUUUCAAAACAGUUUAAACAAAUAGUAACAGAAAAUGAGCUAAACGAAUUUUUUAAAGGAAAAGAAAAAAUCAGUAUACAACAACUUGAAAAUGAUAUUAUAAAUAUAAUUAAUGAAAAGGUAAAGUCUAAGGAAAAAACAGCACAUGAUAGUUUAGGAAGUAAAUCUAUAACAAAUAACUCCAUAACCAGUAGUGCCCUAACAAAUAAUGCCCCAACAAAUAAUGCCACAACAAAUAAUGCCACAACAAGUAGUACCACAACAUAUGAUAAAAAACUAAUAGAUCAAGUACAAAAAAACAGAGAAACUGAUGCAAUCACAGAUUUUAACAUAAAAGCUUAUAUAUCCACUUUAUUAAAAAAUAAAAAUGAUGAAGUGUUGAUAAAACAUUUUAUAGAUAAUUUAAAUGUCGACUAUAUAAAAUUAAAUGUUGAAAAUAAACCAAUAAAAGAUGCUUAUGAUGCAUAUACAAGAACUAUACCACCUACAGAAAUACAUAAUAAUACUUAUCAAAAUGAAUUAAGUUAUGAUGAAAUAAAAAGAGCUGAAUAUUUAAUCGAAGAAAUUGAUUAUUCCAUAAGAAACAGUACGAAAAGUGUAUACAUAGACGCACAUAAAUCUAAUCAGAGUACAAAUGCUAAUGGUACUUAUUCAGUAAAAGACCCAGAGGUUUCUUAU
Piliocolobus tephrosceles (Ugandan red Colobus) is the source of this 1938-nucleotide long non-coding RNA. The record is from Ensembl. Lineage: Eukaryota; Metazoa; Chordata; Mammalia; Primates; Cercopithecidae.